GCUGGGCGCAGUGGUUUACGCCUGUAAUCCCAGCACUUUGGGAGGCUGAGGCGGGUGGAUCACCUGAGGUCAGGAGUUCAAGACCAGCCUGGCCAACAUGGUGAAACCCCGUCUCUA
Molecule: unclassified non-coding RNA, 117 nt
Organism: Pongo abelii (Sumatran orangutan)
Lineage: Eukaryota; Metazoa; Chordata; Mammalia; Primates; Hominidae
Rfam family: Metazoan signal recognition particle RNA
About the family: The signal recognition particle (SRP) is a universally conserved ribonucleoprotein. It is involved in the co-translational targeting of proteins to membranes. The eukaryotic SRP consists of a 300-nucleotide 7S RNA and six proteins: SRPs 72, 68, 54, 19, 14, and 9.
Source: Ensembl